ACCUACGGGGCGCAGCAGUGGGGGAUAUUGCACAAUGGGGGGAACCCUGAUGCAGCGACGCCGCGUGAACGAAGAAAUAUUUCGGUAUGUAAAGUUCUAUCAGCAGGGAAGAAAAUGACAGUACCUGACCAAGAAGCCCCGGCUAACUACGUGCCAGCAGCCGCGGUAAUACGUAGGGGGCAAGCGUUAUCAGGAUUUACUGGGUGUAAAGGGAGCGUAGACGGAAAGGCAAGUCAGAAGUGAAAGCCCAAGGCUCAACCAUGGGACUGCUUUUGAAACUGUCAAACUAGAGUACGGGAGAGGUA
This 305-nucleotide ribosomal RNA is filed under the name uncultured bacterium. RNAcentral describes it as "bacterial SSU rRNA". It matches the Rfam family "Bacterial small subunit ribosomal RNA", at positions 337 to 659 of the family's 1533-position model. The record is from RNAcentral.